AGUGAACGCUGGCGGUAGGCCUAACACAUACAAGUCGAACGGCAGCACAGUAAGAGCUUGCUCUUACGGGUGGCGAGUGGCGGACGGGUGAGGAAUACAUCGGAAUCUACUUUUUCGUGGGGGAUAACGUAGGGAAACUUACGCUAAUACCGCAUACGACCUACGGGUGAAAGCAGGGGAUCUUCGGACCUUGCGCGAUUGAAUGAGCCGAUGUCGGAUUAGCUAGUUGGCGGGGUAAAGGCCCACCAAGGCGACGAUCCGUAGCUGGUCUGAGAGGAUGAUCAGCCACACUGGAACUGAGACACGGUCCAGACUCCUACGGGAGGCAGCAGUGGGGAAUAUUGGACAAUGGGCGCAAGCCUGAUCCAGCCAUACCGCGUGGGUGAAGAAGGCCUUCGGGUUGUAAAGCCCUUUUGUUGGGAAAGAAAAGCAGCAGGUUAAUACCCCGCUGUUCUGACGGUACCCAAAGAAUAAACACCGGCUAACUUCGU
RNAcentral lists this ribosomal RNA (491 nucleotides) under uncultured bacterium. Its description in RNAcentral is "partial 16S ribosomal RNA". It matches the Rfam family "Bacterial small subunit ribosomal RNA", at positions 29 to 506 of the family's 1533-position model. The record is from RNAcentral.